This is a long non-coding RNA of Pieris brassicae (large cabbage white), 1003 nucleotides long. RefSeq lists it as uncharacterized. The record is from RefSeq and is a predicted model, not a curated record. The transcript has 3 exons. NCBI's taxonomy places the organism in Eukaryota, Metazoa, Arthropoda, Insecta, Lepidoptera, Pieridae.
UUAUGCUCAGUCGUUAGUGCAUACUUUAAACGAUUUUAUAAAGAGUAGCAACUUUUCCACUUCUCUCCUUAUAAAUUUAGAUAAUUAUCUGAAAAGCUUAUCGUAUUUCAAAAGGUUUAUCCAACGAUUUUUACUCUUCAAUUAAAUGCGAACUUACACAAUGGAUGCCCGAGGCGACAUCUCUUGAAGUUUUAAACAAAGUUACGCUCGGUUAACGCGCAAUCAACUCCUCACAAGUUGUUGAGUAGUUACUCCGGCGCUCAUGAAGUUAUUUUCAACAUAAGAUUAGAACUAUCUCACGGGUGUGGAUCAUAGAUUAAGCUACAUGAAAGUAGCAAGAUUUUCCAAUUUAAUAUUAAUGCUGCCACUCCGAUGCUUUAAUUAUAAAAGGUUGAAUAUUGUAUGUUCCAGGUUUCCUCUUUUCGGCUAGCAGUUUUCUGUACACAGUACAACACAUGCUAAUUUCUAAUCGAUGUUUUAUUUCACCGUCAGCCGAAAGAUAAGCAAUAACUUUGGAUUGAAGAGAAGACAUUGCAAAAGUGUUUGGUAUUUUUUUUAUAGAUGCACUUAUAAUUUUUAUAUUUUAUGUAACAUACUUUAACAAAUAAUUUGUGUCAUUUAUUAAACUUGAUAUGAAGACAAAAACUACUUCUCCACCUUCUAGGUGAUGAUUUCUACCCUUAUAAGAAAUCCCUGAAUAAAAUUAUUAGAAAUAUAGAAUCAAAAGGCUCAUAUGCAACAGACGCAGUUUAGCAUAAUAUCGUAAAAGCUCUUCAGAAAAUAUCAGCUAUAACUUUGUGACAGCUGAGAGAUGGAGUUGAAUGUAACGACAAUCUGCGUACUAACGACGAAUGUAGAGUUAUACAAAGUCUUUCGUUUUAGUUACAAAGUCUUUUAUUCGGAGUCGAGUCUUACCAUGAACUACGACCGUGUCAAAAACGUUAUUAGUUUUGUCAUUAGUCGCAGUUCGCAGCUUAAAUAAAUAAAUUUAUUCCAAAUUGUA